ACAGAUCAGAAAUGUUGAGGCGGGAAUGUGUACCGCCAUCUCCGUCAAAGCUGAUUUUUCCUUUCACAUCUUCUUCGGGGAAUGGUUGCCUCACAUUCAGA
Molecule: long non-coding RNA, 101 nt
Organism: Etheostoma cragini (Arkansas darter)
Lineage: Eukaryota; Metazoa; Chordata; Actinopteri; Perciformes; Percidae
Exons: 3
Source: RefSeq, a predicted model, not a curated record